AUUAGGUGAUGUGAUUUGCACAUAA
RNAcentral lists this non-coding RNA (25 nucleotides) under Arabidopsis thaliana (thale cress). Lineage: Eukaryota; Viridiplantae; Streptophyta; Magnoliopsida; Brassicales; Brassicaceae. The record is from RNAcentral.